Molecule: long non-coding RNA, 2792 nt
Organism: Esox lucius (northern pike)
Lineage: Eukaryota; Metazoa; Chordata; Actinopteri; Esociformes; Esocidae
Source: Ensembl
UUAUUGAGAAUGAGAGGGACAGACAGACAGAAUGAUUGAGACAAAAGUAGAGAGAGGGAAAGAGACACAACAGGUAAUAACAGGCCCAUGAUGAUUCAGCAUAUAUGUGGGUAGACAUUAUAACCACAUCCCAUGUGCAUCAUGAAUAGAUACAGUUCCAACUGAUUUAAUACUUCUAAGAAUAGAGCACUGGACUUGAUUCAGCCUAAUGAGUAGUACAUGUGAUGUCAUCAUGAUGUGGUCUCCCCCCACAGGAGUAUUGACGUCUGCAUCUAAAUAGUCUAUUUGUCUUCCUCCACCUCUUCCUGCUCUCCUAGUUUUCUAGCUAUGGCAUGCCAUGAUAUGGAUUAAAAGGGACCAGUGAAUGUACAUAAAUACUUGGUAGGCAUCCAGGAUAAUGCUUUCAUCUUUCCUUUCAUAUCAAUGUUAAUUAAGGAGACCAAUUCAGAGUAUUACAAUGCAGCCAUGGGUUCUGUAAUCAAAGGUUACAUACUUAAAAAGACCAAUUUACAGCAACAACAUAGGAAGUAUGUCAGGACACCAGGUUUAACCACAGAGAGUUGGUCCGAAAAACAUGUUUAACCACAGAGAGUUGGUCCGAAAAACAUGUUUAACCACAGAGAGUCAGUCAGGAAAACAUGUUUAACCACGGAGUCAGUCAGGAAAACAGGUUUAACCACAGAGGGUCUGUCAGGAAAACAGGUUUAACUACAGAGAGUCAAUCAGGAAAACAGGUUUAACCACAGAGUCAGUCAGGAAAACAUGUUUAACCACAGAGAGUCAGUCAGGAAAACAGGUUUAACCACAGAGAGUCAGUCAGGAAAACAGGUUUAACCACAGAGGGUCUGUCAGGAAAACAGGUUUAACCACAGAGAGUCAGUCAGGAAAACAUGUUUAACCACAGAGAGUCAGUCAGGAAAACAUGUUUAACCACAGAGAGUCAGUCAGGAAAACAGGUUUAACCACAGAGAGUCAGUCAGGAAAACAGUUCGUCCAUUUACUAUAACUUUGACCCAACAACUGUCUGGGUGUCUGGGACAUUUAGCAAAAGAAAUUCAAAAAACAGAAUACCCCUUCAAAACAUAUGUAUCUCACCACUGUGCUCUUAACAAUUAGCUAUGUUGCAGCAUUUAUCCUGCACCCUCCCCCCAUCUCACUGCAAUUGUCAGGAACCCCCGACCACUCCCAUGGGACGGCCAUGUCAUGCAUUCUAACCCCUCCCCUCUCAUCUCAUAUUCCAUCACCACAGCAACCUAAUCCAUUUACUUCCUGGAACACACAGCCAGGGCGUGUCAUCAAGCUGCUUUACAUCUGCAAGGACAUCAGCUCCUCCUAGACAAUGAUUCAAUCUUCCCUCUUCCCUCUGUUACACCCAUUUCAUACAACUAAUGCAGCCACAACCAGCUGACAGAUCUUCACAGUAAUAUAUUAAAUAAUACAGUAAUACAAUAUAUUACAAAUCAGCAGAACAGAUUUCAUGAAAACAUAAACCCAUUAUAUCCCAUAAAGAUCAACGAAUCAAAGUCUAUAGAAACAUACCUUUUCAUUUGUCUAUGGGAAGACAUAUUGUUCCCCUUGUCAAGUGAACAGAAAGACUGAUAAGACAGUCCUGAAUUGGCUGUACCAAUCAAAAUUUACCACAUUCUAUUAGAAGUGGUAGUUCCUGGCUAUCUUAAGGUAAAUAAACGAACAGUUAUCCCCUUUAGAUAUGAGAGUCUGCUAAAUUGAAAACAUACAUUUAAAUGUCAGCGUAGGUUGUUGAAGCUCAACAUUAGUAAGACGAUAACAGAACUACAGGUUGUACCUUCCUCCUUCAUGCUGCAAUAACAAACUCACAGAGUAACAACGAUCUGCACAUCAACAGACCCACAACACAGCCAUAUUGCAGUGUUAUAUAAGGACACUUCCAAGACUGACAGAGAAACAGAAAGAGAGAGACAGAAGGAGAGACAUAGAGAGACCUACCAAGCUUAUUUUGACUCAGCAUAAUCGUAGACAGCAAAACGGGCACAGCUAGCAAACUCUGACACUGAGCAGCAGGAUAGAGGACACACACUCUGUCUUCUCCCUCUCUGUCUUUCUCUAAUUCUAAACUGUUAAACACACCCAAAAGGACUGAUGCAUCUUCCUAUCUCUCUGCGUAUGGAAGCUGCUGGAAGCUGCUGCGCUUGUUUACCGUGCAGUCCAACCGCUGAGCCUGGAGGUAGAAGCUAGAGCAGCAGUGGCCCAUAGCAGGCUGCAGGGCAGACCAAUGAUUCAUUCCACACUGAUGCUGCUACACACCCAAAGAUAUGGACAGGGAGACAGAGAGAGCUGGGGAGGAAGGAGAGGCUGGAGAGAGGGGAGUAGAGGGAGGAGGUGUGGGGGAAGGGAAAAUAAGGGAAGGGACAAAAAAGAUGAAAUCAGGGGAGACAAAAAUAGAAAGAAUAAACAGAGAAAUAAAGAGAGAAAGAAAGGGAAGCGAGAAGAUGUAGCACUAGAAAGGAUGGAAAGAGAGGAGAUGUAGAACUACAAAGGAUGGAAAGAGGGGAGAUGUAGAACUACAAAGGAUGGAAAGAGGGGAGAUGUAGAACUACAAAGUGAUGUCAGCAUUACAAAGAAAGAAGAGGGAAGUGAGAAGGACUGGAUUGAGACAAAGGGAAGAUGAGAUUACUAAAGAGCCAGCAUGCCAGCCACACCUCUCAGCCAGCCUCACCUCUCAGCCAGCCACACCUCUCUGCCAGCCUCACCUCUCUGCCAGCCACACCUCUCAGCCAGCCUCACCUCUCAGCCAGCCUCACCUCUCAGCCAGC